Long non-coding RNA from Chiroxiphia lanceolata (lance-tailed manakin), 1890 nucleotides. RefSeq lists it as uncharacterized. NCBI's taxonomy places the organism in Eukaryota, Metazoa, Chordata, Aves, Passeriformes, Pipridae. The transcript has 4 exons. The record is from RefSeq and is a predicted model, not a curated record.
GGCGGGCAUGGCAGGGCCGCGCCGCUCCCCCCGCACUCACCCGCAGACUUGUCCGCCGCCAUCUCCGCUGCCGCUCCGUGCCCGACGACGCAGCCCGAGCGCGCCGGUAGUUGCCGAGAGUCCCCUUCGCGCUGCGCCACAGGCGCUGACCGACCUCAACCACCGCCGCCGCCGACACUCGGCCACUGCCCCCCCGGGACUACUUUGCCGCCGCCGCCCUGCGCGCGCCUGGCCCGCCCCGCCGAUGCGCCGUCCCCACCGAUUCGCCGCCGCUUCCGGGUUCCCAGCGCGCCCGCGACGUCCGGCCGUUACCGGGGCAGCGCGGACGUGACGUCAAGACGCCGACGGGGAGCGGGGAGGGGCGGGGCCGCCAUGUUGGCGUGUGGGGCCCGGGAGCGGCCGGGGGGGGCACUGGCCAGGGCUGCGGCGGCACGAAGCGCCCUGACCCUGCUGUCUCGGACGGGUUUUGUCUUUGCUGCCAGAAUGCUAUAUUUUCCUGGAAAAUUAUGGUGCAUCACAAGCUAUUAGUUUUUGUUCUGUCCGUGUGCAGUGAAUAAACCAGCAUAGGCUAUGUUUACUUUAGGAAGCCACUCAGAGCAGCAGGAGUAGACUGAUAGCUGUAAACAGCAGGAGCUGAGGUUCCUCACAUCUCCAGUAUACCCUCACACAGAAAUUAUUUUGCAUCAGGCCAUUGGACCCAUUAAAAAAGACAAUGUUUGGUCCUUCACUUCUUGCAUUGUAGAUACAAGCAAAAAGACUAUCCACCUCGAUCCUGAAACUGUUAUUCUACCCCACUAGGAACUUCAGGAAUGAACUUACUAACUUUAGUGGGGAAAGAACCUAAAGAAUCUGUUAAGGAAAGCAGGAGUCACUGAAGCAAAGAAGGAUCCACAUCAGGCAUUCUGUCCUUUGACAACAAGAAAAUACCAGCAUCCCUUUUGCAAUUUGGAAUUUCUGCUGUAUCAGUACAAAGACUUCAGAGAGAAAAUAUCUGGCAAAAGGAAAAGUGAAAAGCCUUGUCUCAAAGCUUCCAUUUUAUAUAUUACACAAUUUAACUUCUCUGACCAAGGAAGGUGGUGACUGCCAACUCUUCUUCCCUGAGAGCCAGAAGGAAUAGCAGAGCACAGAGGUAGUCAGUACACAUUUUAAUGUACUGCUGUCUCAUGCACUCUGGACCAUCAAGAGAAAAACUGUGUGUUACUUGUAAGGCUUCCACUCUAGUGAAUCUCAUCUGUUUGGCUCUCCUCCUAAUAAUACCAACCAGCACCCCACAAACAUGCUCAUACUGUAUUAGAAUAUAACAAUUUUGUAAAUGUGGAAAAGAGACACAUUUUUUGAAGUCAAUGACUGCAGCUAGCAAAAGCCACCUCAUACACUGCAGACCACUUGUGCAAGUCGAGGCCUUUUCGUCAGAGAAUACCUUUAUUUCAUGAACUGAUAUUAAGCUGAAUUUUUUUUUUCCACCUUGCACGUCCUUGGUCACCGGUAUUUUUCAUGUGACAAAGCAAAUGCUAAUUCUCUAUGGGCUGUAAGGGAAAACAGCUGCUAGUUAUAAUGGGGGUUUUGAGAGCGCUUGGUCAACCAAACUCCAUAGGUUUAAGUACCUCCAGACUGUAUUACAUCUGUCAAAGCAGCAGCAAAUACAACAUAAAAUGUAGAGUAGGUCCCAUUUUUAGUGUGUCAGUAGAAUCAGCCUGCAGUUAUUUUUAACUGCCUUGGAAAGCUUAGCAGGCAGAUACAGUUAAUCCUUUAAAGGAUUUGCAGGUAUUCAUAGCUUAAUAAGUAAGCAGAGUGGAUUAAACCAAUAGAAGAUUGUAGACAGUCAAAGACAACCUUUACAUGCUAACAUUCAAAACAUAAAAAGAACAGUUUCUUUUGUAUACUUUUUUU